Molecule: microRNA precursor, 74 nt
Filed under: Mus caroli (Ryukyu mouse)
Lineage: Eukaryota; Metazoa; Chordata; Mammalia; Rodentia; Muridae
Description: microRNA 7223 (MGP_CAROLIEiJ_G0007180.1)
Source: RNAcentral
CAGCUUUGCUGAGGUGUCGGGGUGUGUCAUACCCGCACUGGUAAUAUUCCCUGUCUCGGGCAGAAUAAGCAAGG